Molecule: unclassified non-coding RNA, 405 nt
Filed under: fungal sp.
Lineage: Eukaryota; Fungi
Description: partial internal transcribed spacer region
Rfam family: Eukaryotic small subunit ribosomal RNA (bases 1-46)
Source: RNAcentral
AAGUCGUAACAAGGUUUCCGUAGGUGAACCUGCGGAAGGAUCAUUAACACGUAUCCACGUAUCAACCAACUGUGAACUUGUUCUCAACCCUCCCUGCCGGCGAGAUGAAUUGGAAUCGAGUGUGAGUAUGAAUGGAACGAUCACGCGUAAGCGAGUGAGUUCAUCACACGAGACUAUCUGGAAGCAAUUCCUAACAAUUGUACUCGCUGCGUCAGGCAAACCCUUUCUGCUUCAUCAGAUCGUCGCUCAUCGAUCUGCGAGUGGAAUAGAAACACAAAUUUCACCCCCUUUUUGCUAGUUGACUUUUAUAUGUUGUCUGAUUCAUACUUAAUUGUAUGGGCCAUUCACACGUUUAUUAUUUGAACGUUAAAAUUACAACUCUUAGCAAUGGAUAUCUUGGUUCUC